CAGCCGCCGCGGUAAUACAGAGGGUGAGAGCGUUAAUCGGAUUUACUGGGCGUAAAGCGUGCGUAGGCGGCUUUUUAAGUCGGAUGUGAAAUCCCUGAGCUUAACUUAGGAAUUGCAUUCGAUACUGGGAAGCUAGAGUAUGGGAGAGGAUGGUAGAAUUCCAGGUGUAGCGGUGAAAUGCGUAGAGAUCUGGAGGAAUACCGAUGGCGAAGGCAGCCAUCUGGCCUAAUACUGACGCUGAGGUACGAAAGCAUGGGGAGCAAACAGGAUUAGAUACCCCCGUAGUCCCUGUCUCUUAUAC
Molecule: ribosomal RNA, 301 nt
Filed under: uncultured bacterium
Lineage: Bacteria
Description: partial 16S ribosomal RNA
Rfam family: Bacterial small subunit ribosomal RNA
Source: RNAcentral